GACGAACGCUGGCGGCGCGCUUAACACAUGCAAGUCGCACGGUGAACGGGGCUUCGGCCUCGGGAUCAGUGGCGAACGGGUGCGUAACACGUGGGCAACCUGCCCCUCACUCUGGGAUAACCCCGGGAAACCGGAGCUAAUACCGGAUACUCCGACCGAGCCGCAUGGUUCGGCCGGGAAAGGUCCGCCGGUGAGGGAUGGGCCCGCGGCCUAUCAGCUUGUUGGGGAGGUAACGGCUCACCAAGGCGACGACGGGAGCUGGUCUGAGAGGACGACCAGCCACACUGGGACUGAGAUACGGCCAGACUCCUACGGGAGGCAGCAGUGGGGGAGUCUUGCGCAAUGGGCGAAAGCCUGACGCAGCGACGCCGGGCUGAGGGACGAAGGCCCUCGGGUUGUAAACCUCUUUCGGCAGGGACGAAGCGAUCGUGACGGUACCUGCAGAAGAA
Molecule: ribosomal RNA, 449 nt
Filed under: uncultured bacterium
Lineage: Bacteria
Description: bacterial SSU rRNA
Rfam family: Bacterial small subunit ribosomal RNA
Source: RNAcentral